UACGUAGGGUGCAAGCAUUAAUCGGAAUUAUUGGGCGUAAAGGGCGCGUAGGCGGACUUGUAAGUCAGAUGUGAAAUUCCGGGGCUCAACCUCGGAGCUGCAUUUGAAACUGUGAGUCUAGAGGGUUGACGGAGAAAACGGAAUUCCAUGUGUAGCGGUGAAAUGCGUAGAUAUAUGGAAGAACACCAGUGGCGAAAGCGGUUUUCUAGUUAAUACCUGACGCUGAGGCGCGAGAGCAAGGGGAGCAAACAGG
This 253-nucleotide ribosomal RNA is filed under the name uncultured bacterium. Its description in RNAcentral is "partial 16S ribosomal RNA". It matches the Rfam family "Bacterial small subunit ribosomal RNA", at positions 524 to 776 of the family's 1533-position model. The record is from RNAcentral.